Rhopilema esculentum is the source of this 14828-nucleotide non-coding RNA. Lineage: Eukaryota; Metazoa; Cnidaria; Scyphozoa; Rhizostomeae; Rhizostomatidae. The record is from RefSeq and is a predicted model, not a curated record.
GGGAGGUGUGGUGUGGGGAUUGGGGGGGUGUGGGGAGGUGUAACACCCCCCGAAGAAUAGGAAUUUGUUUUUCAGUCGGUAAAAUUGGAAUUUAGUCGGUAAAAUGGGGAUCUUGACUGGUAAGUAAUCCUUUUAAAUGUUCAGACGAAAAAACUGUCCUUCAUGUAAUCUUUAAAAAAUUCAAAAAUAUUAAAAAGAUCUGCAGUACAAUUUUUCCGUUUUAUUGUUCAUUGCCACAUCAUCUCUGACACCUUCAAUCGGUUGAUUUAUUAACAUUGCAUUGUAUACCCGGAAUGAUAUAUACACACAGUGUUAUAUCCGGGAAGCAGCAAUACCGCUGCGCUGGAUUUUGCAAAAACAAAUUCUGCUGCAAGCAGCUCUGCGGGGGUUCGAAGAAACAUGUGAUUUUUCAUAUCAUCACCCCAGCCAUUACGGUCAUUUUGUGUAUUUACCCUGCUGCGAAGUUUGCGUUUAAUGUGAGCAGUUUUGCAUCGCAAGAAUACUGAACAAUCACAAGCCGUUAUUUUGAUAUUACGCAGCCCUUUUAUAUGGACACGUUGCCUUUAAGGAUACACUGAUUGGGAGAAAUUAUAUAACGAACCUGAGAAUUAUAUGGUGGAAAUUCAGAUUUCGAAAGGUUGUGGAAGAUGAACGCAGUCUAAUCCAUAGUCGCAUGAAGGAAAAUUCAAGUGCUGAUUUUAAAGAGCUCUGCCAUUUAAAUACAAUGGAAUCUAUGCCAAGAAUGGAUUCAAAACAGCUGUCAUACCGCAUUGCAGUUCCUGAUGACUUUACUCAGAUCGAUUUGCUACUUCAACAGCAUUUUAUUUCGCAGGAGCCAACUGACGUAGCGCUUGGGCUGAAUCGAUCAACGCCAGGUUAUGUUGAGAAUCUCCAAGAAGUCAUCAAGCAAUGCUUGACUCAACCGUACACCUUCGUUGCCAUAAGUGAAGAAGAUGAAAUCGUCGGGGUACGCUUGAAUGAACUGCAUAAACCAAGUCAAAAUGCAAUUGAUGACAGGAAGCUAGGGAAUGCUGUUCGAGGCGGACUCUCUGCUUGGGAAAUUUUGCAGGCCUACUUGGCAAAACUAGAAGAGGAUGUUGACAGGCUUAUCCCAGAAGAUUGUCGUAAGAACAUACUGAAAUUUUCCAUUCUGUGUGUGCACCAGAAAUUUCGACGCCUUGGCAUCGCGGCCAAAUUGGUGGAUUUAUCUUUACAAAACGCCCGAAUGUUCGAUUUCUGUUGCGUUUUUGCAGUGUUAACUGCAAAGGCAACUCAAAACCUUUUCAAGAAGGAUUGCUUUGAAGUCUUGCGAGUGAUAAAGCAUAAAGAUUUUGUAGAUGAAAACGGAAAGAUAUUAUUGAACUGUAACGAUGGAACCGACCAAGGACUGCUAGUAUUUAAAAGAAUUCAGGCUAGAAAAUAGUGUUUUGAUUCAGCAUUGAAACAGAAUUCAGCAUGGUUAUGGUUGCAGUAUAAACAUUGAUCAACAGUCUGGCUAAAAAAGAAAAUCAAAUUAUUGGGUUAUGAAACGAUGUGUUGGUUUGUUGAGAAGAACAUUUACUUAUAAAUUAUGCAAAGAGGAAGGGCUGACGUCGCUAGCUUGACCUCUCUCGAGAUUGGGAAUGUUCGAAAUAACACAUUAUCCACAAAACCCGACAAUUCUUAGGUUAUCAACUAUUUAAAACAACUGAACAGAUUUUCAAGUUACUGAACAACGGAGGUUUCAAGCUUUGGUGAUCUCAUCUUAAUGAAAAUGCGCUACUACCUGCUAUCUCAACUGAUUUAUUUGAUAAUAACUGAAGGUGGUAAAUAGAAGUAUGCAUAUCUCAAAGUGAAAGGAAAGGUCAGAAAAUGAAUAAUGAUUAAAAAAAUCGAAUGUUUUUACAGGAUAGCCUAUCAGUUCCAGAUGUUAUCACUGGGGUCCUGAUACUAUAUCAUAUAGCAUAAAGCAUAUAUUUAAUAGUAACAGAUCUGCGAAAAAUAAAUUAAAUGAGUAAAAUCCAGUCCAAUCCAAAGAUAAAAAAGAUAAAAAUAGCGUCACAUCAUGAAAUGAUUUUUUAAUGGUCUUAAACGUCUAAAAACAAGACUCGAUUCAAUCUUUCUGGCAAUUAGUGGCAAGUUGUUCAAUUCAUUUUCUGCCAGAUAAUAAAACCUUUUCGAUCAAAUUCUGUUUCACUUAAGACAACUUAACAAGAUGUUGGUCAUUUCUGGUAUUUUUCCCAUGAGCAUUUAUGACGAAAUAAUCUUUCAUUGCUCUGCAGAUAGGCUUAGGUAUCAAACACCAAAAUACAGACAAACUUCACCAAAUUCCUGCUCUGAUACUAGGCACAUGCAAGCUGACUGAUGCAAGCCCGUUUGAUCUUAUUAUAUCAAGGCUUCUACGCUCACGACUUUCAAUUCUUUUCUUGUAUCUUGUAGACCAUCCGAGGUACAACGAACCACAAUAUCCAAGCACAGGCUUUAUCAUGGUGCGAUAACUCUUUUCAGCGCUCGCAGUGUCAAUGGAGCUUCUGAUUCCGCUAGGUAGAUUUAGCCUUCAAGUAGCCUUUUUAUAAAUCUUGAAGCUUCAAAAGUAUCAUCAAAACUGCUUUCUAGAUGUCACAUUACUUUUACUUAUGCAAAAAACUUAAUUUUGUUCGUAAAAAAUUUCUUAUCGAAACGUCUUGCAAGAAACAACACCAGCAAAUUACUUGGAAAAACUCGUAACACAUAUAAUUAAUGUCUCCUGUAAACCUGGGGUCAUGCCUGAUAUUUCGAAAAUUGUGAAGGUGAUCCCCGUUUUUAAGAUAAACCCUAAGAGAAGAUAACAGACCAACCUCAGACCUUUCCUGCUUUGAAAAUAUUAAAGAGCUCAAUCUACUUAAGCAAAUUCUUUCUUUUCUGAAAAAGAAACAUCUCCUGCAUGAUUUUCGUUCCGGUCUUCCUUCAAGUCACACAACUUUGCAUACAUUGCUAGUUUUGCUUGAGUCUGUCAAUAAAAUCCUUGACCAAAAAAAUCAAUGCAUUGGCGUUGUCCUUGACAUACCUUAGGCCUUUACAGUUUGAACAGGGAGUGGGGUGUAAUAUCUAUCAAGUGCUUCUUUCAUUGUUCUAUUAAAUUACCUAUAAUCAUGCUGAUAUGUUUUGUUAAGUUUUGAAGAUUGCACUUGCUGAAUAUAGGCCGUGUUUAUUUCCGCGUUUAUUCCCUGGAACAAGAAGGUUUUACGCCCAGUUUCCGUCCUUUUUUGGGAUGACUAACUUUUGUGAUCUUUGCGAGUAUUUAUUUUGUCAUUGAUCCUAGUGAAGUAAUGUUUAAAUGCUUUUGGCGCUAUGCCGUUUCAGCAUUUAAAAACUUCUAUUGCACAGGGCCGUCGAGAGACGGGCCGGGCCCCAGGGCUGGGACUGUCAUGGGGCCCCACCGUCGAAGGUUGCAAAAACCUUUUUUGGGUUACGCCCUUAGCAAUGCAGUUAGAUGAACUGUAAAAGGCAUGAAUUUUGAAACAACGCCCCCAGAAACACUUGAAUUUGUAUUUUAAGGUCUUUAACAGAACAUGUAAUUAGUGGCUAUAUAAAACAAAUCAUUAAAACAAAUCAGUUUAAAAAUCAGAGUUAAUUUAAUGUUUAAAACAUUGCUUUUCUUGCUUUCCUCAUGGCGAAAUCCUUAAUCUUUUCCCACAAUCUUUUCCAGCUCUCGUUCGCUCCCCGACCAUCAGGAGAAGCCAAUUUUGAUUUUGAACCAUUAUUAAUAGUGUGCCCAGACAGCCUGCAUGGCAAACAAUAGAGUGCAGCCUUUGUAGGACUGAGAACAAGCCAGCUUCGUCUUACUACCUCCCCAUUUUGCUGCUUCACAUCUAGGACCGUUGUUGGAAAUUUGUGGCCUUCGCAAUCUUUGGGAAACUCUGGAGGAUGAGGCAAAUUACCAGUUCUAACAACCUUUUUUAACUCCUUGAUCGUUGGAAAUUCGGUUAAUGUGCCGACAUCAAAACAAGAUGAUCCACUAUGAACAGUAUCUUGAUUUAAUGACGAAUCAGUAGUGCUUUCUCUACUUUCUGUGGUGUCAUGGUCUACCGAAGCAGCCAAGCCGUUUGUGUCUUCUUCUUCAGCAAUGCUUUGAACAGAGCUUUCGCCAGGUUUAUUUAAAGUUGAAUCACCUUCCUUGUCUCUUUUAAAGGUCUCAAAUCUUUGUUUCUUCAAUUGGAACAUGCCAACAAGGCAAAGACAUUUGAACAGUAGAGCAUGACAGGUAUGAUCAUCACUUUAUAGAUGACUUCUGCUGUGUGUGGACUGAUGUUUCGUGGCACUCGUUGUAAAAGCUUGAUUCUUGAUGAAAUCUUUUUUAAUGUUUUCUCAAAAUGAUCAUUGAAUGAAGGUUUUUAUCCAGUAUCACCCCUAAAUAUUCAUAGCUUUUAGACUCAGUGAUGCUUUGUCCUUUCAUCUUGAUCUCUAGUGGCGUUGAUUUGGAUGUUCUCUGACCUGUUCCGAAUAGGACACAUUCGGUCUUUGUUGUUUUCAAAUUAGUGACUAACUUGUUUUUGGUGAGCCAUUGAGCAACUUGGUCAAUGUCGGUAUUUAAUUGAAUCUCGAUCUCAUUAAAUUCUUUUUGUGCACAGUAAAUGACUGCAUCAUCAGCGUUUAAGAUGAUUUCACAAUGGUUUAGUUGAAAGUAUAUAUCAUUAAUAAGCAAGGUGAACAAUAACGGUCUCAAAAUGGAUCCUUGAGGAACUCAGAUUGAGUUGCAGACUUGACUCAAUCAAAUUGAACCAAUUGUGUUCUGUCAAACAAGUAGUUUUCAAAUCAUUUAAGUUCUUUAUGAUUGAUUCCAUAUAGGGGUAUGCUUUCUUGAGGUCUACAAAAGCUGCACCCGUUAAUAAUCCUCUAUCCAUGCCUUGUCUGAUACAGUAAAAGAAGAGUGCCUUGCUUUAGAAAUGCAAUUUAUUGUACAAGCACUUCAGAAUAGGUUGAUUUUGGCCAGUGGAAUUUGUGGAGCAAUGCACCACCAUCAAUCACGCAAACAUGAUUUGCAGUUGGAGUAGUUGCAUUCUGGGUGUUGCUUCUAAAUAGUCGUGUGUAUAUUUUUGCACUUACUUAGGCUAGCCCUUACUUUUCACGCCGUCCUAGCAGGAUUAGUGCACAAGAUUCGUGACUAAUCCUGUCUGUUCUUUAGCUUACCCGGGCGCAUAUUGCUGUUAGGAUACAGGCCACACUAAGUUAUUCGAAUGCUACGACCAUGAAGACAGAUCUGAAGAAUCAAGCAAGCUUUUAGAGCCACUGUAGGGCUCAACACAUACAUCAAUAUAUCGCUAUAAUUUCUACCAUGUACCGUUUCGCAAGUAUCAUUGCUAAAUCUACCUUCGGUGCAAGCGUACAUUAAAGUAAGUCGUUUACAUUUUUAUUGUUGCCUUGUAUUGGUACGUUUUAUCUACUCAUUUCGCCAGCCUUUAACCGGUAGUUUUUUGUCUACUCAUGUCACGUUUUUUGUCUAGUUUUUUGUUUGUUGCCAUUUCAUACCGUUACUUUAUCUUAUGCAUUGAGUUUCGUUGCUAUUAUCAUGUCCUUAUUAUUCGUAAUAGAUUGAAUAUAAUUGAUUCUAAUUUAUGUUGCAAUUUAGUUUAUGUUUUCAUGUGGCACUAUAUAUAGGUAAAAUUUCUAUUAUAUACACAUUUCUAGCCAUUCUUUGCCACAUUUAUCAUACUCUUACGCGACCGAUGAAGGUCCGUUUUUUUUACAUGCUAUUUUAUCACAUGCUAUUUUAGUUAGUCUAUUGCGAAUCGUAUAUUUAUUUUGUAUUGCAGCUCGAACCUAUGAAUAUCUAUGAUUAUCUCUGAUCGCAUCUUCCAUGUUCUCAAGUUGGUUUCGGAUAUUUCGUCAAACAUUCUCUGCUUCAUCAAUGUUUACUUGAAAGUCCUCUGAAAUGUUUUGGAGAUCGGACCAUUCUUUGAUCGACGUAAGAUUUUUGUUGUCUCUACUAGGCUCAGUAUGAACAUGCCGUUCACUUGUUUUUCUAAAUGCGUCAGUCACUUCACUCAUUUGUCAUUGUCUGCACAUCUAUGCGUACAUCUAACCCAUAACUGGGGAGUAGAUUGUGAAAUGCUUCUUCCUCGCGUCAGACCACCGUUGAUCUUUAACUGUAGCUAUUCAAAGUGCCAUAUCGUUUUUACAAACUUUGAGAUGUUCGAUAGUUCUAACGUCACUGAUGACAUCAUCGUGUUAUUUUUAAACUUUGUCGGAUAAAGCGUGACAAAUUAUUGGUACACGGGUAAAGCGUGACAAAGUAUUGCUACAAAGUUUGGACCCUUUACAAUAUGCAGUUUAAAGGCAUUUCACACAGGUAAAAGUGGCUAGACAACAACGGUUGACCAAUCAACGUGCAAAAAACAUGUGAACAGUUUCCGCCUUUCUGCAAAUCAGCGAUACCCUAGAGUGGUUUCACGUGCAUAGUUUCAAAUUCCUCGCAGUGAGUGCUCUGAUCGAGUUACUUUUGGAUUCGCUGUACUUAUGCAUCUCAAAUGCCUUUAAAGGAAAAUAAUGUCUUUUCAACAGAAGGAUUCACAGUUCAAUAUCGAAAGUCACACAAAUUGCUGAAAACCCCCUCCCUCCUGACUAGCGGCUAUAACUAUUUUGUCGAGAAACCGCAGUAUGAGGCUCGCAAUAUGUUAUUCUCCAAUGAUUUUCUAUUCGAAUGGUAUCAAUCUCGAUAGCGUGGCAUUUCAUUCUUGUGCAAACCACCAUUCGACCAGACUAUUGUUAUGCUAAAAAGCUGCAAUUUCAUGCGGUGAUGGUGGAAUCGGCAGAUUUAUUUAUAUCUCUGUUUGUCUUUUAUUCGUUAGAUUUCGAAAGGUUGUGGAAGAUGAACGCAGUCUAAUCCAUAGUCGCAUGAAGGAAAAUUUAAGUGCUGAUUUUAAAGAGCUCUGACACUUAAGUACAGUAAUGGCAUCCAUGCCAAAAAUGGAUUCAAAACAGCUGUCAUACCGCAUUGCAGUUCCUGAUGAUUUUACUCAGAUCGAUAUGUUACUUCAAGAGCAUUUUUUUCCUAAUGAGCCAACGAAUGUAGCGCUGGGUUUAAAACUAACACCGAGUCGUGUUGAGCGAAUCCGAGAAAUCAUCAGGCAAUGCUUGACUCAACCGUACAGCUUCGUUGCCAUAAAUGAAGAAAAUGAAAUCGUUGGUUUACGCUUGAAUGAACUGCAUAAACCAAGUCAAAAUGCAAUUGAUGAAUGGAAGCUAGGGAAUGCUGUUCGAAGCGGACUCUCUGCUUGGGAAAUUUUGCAGGUCUACUUGGCAAAACUAGAAGAGGAUGUUGACAGGCUUAUCCCAGAAGAUUGUCGUAAGAACAUACUGAAAUUUUUCAUCCUGUGUGUGCACCAGAAAUUUCGACGCCUUGGCAUCGCGGCCAAAUUGGUGGAUUUAUCUUGUGAAAACGCCCGAAAGCUCAAAUUCUGUUGCGUUUUUGCAUUGCUAACUGCAAAGGCAACUCAAAACCUUUUCAAGAAGGAUGGCUUUGAAGUCUUGCGAGUGAUAAAGCAUAAAGAUUUUGUAGAUGAAAACGGAAAGAGAUUGUUGAACUGUAACGAUGGAACCGACCAAGGACUGCUAGUAUUUAAAAGAUUUCAGCCUAGAAAAUAGUGUUUUGAUUCAGCAUUGAAACAGAAUUCAGUGUGGUUAUGGUUGCAGUAUAAACAUUGAUCAACAGUCUGGCUAAAGAAGGAAAUCAAAUUAUUGGGUUAUGAAACGAUGUGUUGGUUCAUUGAGAAGAACAUUUACUUUAAAAUUAUACAAAGAUGAAGGGCUGACGUCGCUAGCUUGACCUCUCUCGAGAUUGGGAAUGUUCGAAAUAACACAUUAUCCACAAAAGCAGAUAAUUCUUAGGUUAUCAACUAUUUAAAUCAACCAAACAGAUUUUCAAGUUACUGAACAACGGAGGUUUCAAGCUUUGGUGAUCUCAUCUUAAUGAAAAUGCGCUACUACCUGCUAUCUCAACUGAUUUAUUUGGUAAUAACUGAAGGUGGUAAAUAGAAGUAUGCAUAUCUCAAAGUGAAAGGAAAGGUCAGAAAAUGAAUAAUAAUAGAAAUAAUCGAAUGUUUUAUCAGGAUAGCCUAUCAGUACCAGAUGUUAUCACUAGGGUCCUGAUACUAUAUCAUAAAGCAUAAAGCAUAUAUUUAAUAGUAACAGAUCUGCGAAAAAUAAAUUAAAUGAGUAAAAUCCAGUCCAAUCCAAAGAUAAAAAAAGAUAAAAAUUGCAUCACAUCAUGAAAUGAUUUUGGACAUGAAAUGAUUUUGGAAUGAUCUAAAACCGUCUAAAAACAGGACUCGAUUCAAUCUUUCUGGCACUUAGUGGCAAGUUGUUCAAUUCAUUUUCUGCCAGAUAAUAAAACCUUUUCGAUCAAAUUCUGUUUCACUUAAGACAACUUAACAAGAUGUUGGUCAUUUCUGGUAUUUUUCCCAUGAGCAUUUAUGACGAAAUAAUCUUUCAUUGCUCUGCAGAUAGGCUUAGGUAUCAAACACCAAAAUACAGACAAACUUCACCAAAUUCCUGCUCUGAUACUAGGCACAUGCAAGCUGACUGAUGCAAGCCCGUUUGAUCUUAUUAUAUCAAGGCUUCUACGCUCACGACUUUCAAUUCUUUUCUUGUAUCUUGUAGACCAUCUGAGGUACAACGAACCACAAUAUCCAGGCACAGGCAUUAUCAUGGUGCGAUAAAUCUUUUCGGCACUGAAGCUCUUGAAAUGCGCAUUCACGUAAAACCUAGAUUUGCUAAAUUUUACAAUUUAUUUUAAAUAUAUGGCGGAUUUAUGACUGUUUUUGCAGUUGUCGAUGACGUCAUCAAUCACGUGAUACUGAGGCAAAAUUUUAUUGGUCCCAUCUUGGAUUCUGAAUCUCCAUACUUAAAUGUAGAUAAAACCAUCGAGAUCAUUUCGGUUAGGUGAGAAAUCAAUUUUCACAGCCAUAGCCCUGCCUACUUCUGCAUGAUCUUAUUUUCGGUUUUCGUCCAAGUCACACAACUCAUACAUUGCUAGAUUUGCUUGAGUCUGUCAAUAAAGGCCUUGGCCAAAACAAACAAUGCAUCGGCAUUGUCCCUUGACAUACCUAAGGCCUUAAUACAUAAGAUCAUUGUUAACAAGAUAUUUAUUAUGCAUGUCAUUGAUUUGCGACAGUUGACAUAGCUACUGCCAAGACUGUCUACCAAGACUGUUUCAAGCAUAAAUGAAGCCUGGCUUUAUUGCAAAAGUUGACAGAAAUAAAAAUUAUUACGUAUUUCCCAGGGCCGGUGAAACCGGGGGGCCGGGAGGGGGGCAUGGCCCCUACUUUUCUGCAAAGCUAAAGAAAAAUUGUAGGCAAAAGUGGAAAUAAAUGUAGUAUGAUUCUGUAAGUAACUUUGCCUAGUAUUCUCUUAAAGGUGUCCUUAGCUUUACUUUGGUUGCUAUGUCUUUACCAUAGAAGACAUACAUAAAAUUGAAUAUGGGAAUUAGAUCGAAGAAAUCGGUCUUUGUCUAAGUUUUACAACAAGUAACAGCUUGUCUUAGCAAAUAGAUCGAGAAACCUAGUCCAGAAUAACUUGGUGUCAGUACAAAUUGACGGAGUUUCGUUUUUUUCAUUGCCUAAACUUGGCACACAAGGUCUAUUUGUUUACGAAAACUUUCUCAGAAACUUUACAAAAAGAGAGAAAUCAGCUGUUGAAGGAAAAGAAACAACUGGAGAGAACUUAUAUGAGUAAUAAAGUAUGGGCAGAUUUGUUCUUUAAGAGUAUCAUCAAGAAAACUUCAGAGUUUGAUCGGUUGGAAAAUCCAUUCCUACUAAGAAAGAAAAAAUAUCGACGCAAUUAUAAAUUCCAUUUAAACUCAUUUUGACAAACCCAGUUUGAAGGUUUUUCAAAUUUUUGUUAAAGCAUUUCAAUUCCGAAAAAGUUAAGAUCAGAUGUUACAAAAUUGCUUGACUUUUUAUUUUUAGUUGAUAGUUUUUCUGUUGAUAUUUCAACGUUAAUGUUUUUUAUCAACCCGUGUUUUAUUUCUUUUUCUCCCCCAUCUUAUUUCGGGUACUUUUAAAAUCUAAAAAAGGUUUCAUUACGAGCUAUAUGACAGUGGUUAUUCUAAAACUUUGCAACUUUUCUAUUUGAAGUCAACAUCACAAUAGACGCGACUAUGCAACAUCUUCAGUCAAAAUUCAUUUUAGAUACAGUUUCUGGCCAUCCUAAGACACUAUAAUUCUGAAAUCUUUCUUGCCACCAACCAUGGUGGCGGCCUUUCCUAAGCCCUUUCAAGACUUUGAUAUUUUGGCCCCUCCACUUUCAAAUACUUUUCGCUGGCCCUGAUUUCCUGAAAGGAUACUUUGCCUACUAGCCUUAGCCUCUAUAAGUUUUUCAUAAUAACUUAGUUUUGCGUGACUUCCUUCCAAAAAGGUUCCCUCUCGCUUUCCUUAUUUUUCAAAAAAAAUUGAGAAUAUCUUCAAAAAGCAUUUUUGAUUUGAUUUGCAUUUUUUAAUUUGAAGUUUUUGUUGUGUUUAGUUUUUAACGUCAUCCACAGGUGGUAAUUAUUUGUUGAUUUUUAGAGACAUUACAAAAAUAAUGUACUUACUUAUCUUAGAAGCAAGUCCAAAGAAAAGCAGCUUUUCUAUCAACCUGCAUCUUCAUUGGCUUUUGAUCAAAUCCAAAUUCUGACUAGUCUUGAUGAAUCACUCUACUUUUCAAGCCUUAAGCCCAAUUUCUUAUAGAAAUAAUUGAUUCUAUCAGGUUUCUGCGUCAAAAUUUCUGCUUGAAAAGUUUGGCAACUUGAUAAUAGGUUUCGGAAAAUUGUCGAAUUUCCAUGAAAAUUUUAAUACAGGAAAGAACCUGUAAAUCUGCAUUACAGAACUUUUGGCUAAAGACUUUAUUUUCUAUGAGCAAAGGGUUUUAAUUUAGUGAAUGAGAUAACAUGCUGUUAACAGUGUUGAAAGUAUUCACAGACUAACGCAGUUUGAUUAACGCAGAGGUAAUAAUAUGAACAACUAACCGAAUACAGCAAUGCUCUUUUAUAUGUUUAUUGUAAUUUUCUAGAAGUUUCUAUGAAAGUAUCGUUCCAGAAGGUUCGAGAAAGCGGAAGUACUUAUUAUUGCAAAAAAUAGAAUUGAACUAAUACUAUGAAUAUACUAGAAUGAUAUGAGGGAUUAAACUAGAAUGUUCUACAGUAUCUUGACAGUCUAGUAAGAGUGUAUAUUUCCAAUACUCCUCCUCACUUGCUGCCGGACUGUUCAAUCGUUUCUUUGACUCCAAUCAUCCCUCAUAGUUUCAUAAGUUGAUUACUGCUCAAACCUUUUGCCAGUACAUCAGCUAUCAUGUCUUCGGAUUUACAAUACUGUAAUUCUAUUUUACCAGAUGCCACAUGCUCACGAAUAUAGUGAUGUCGAUGUCUUUUGCACGUCCAUGGAACUGUGCAUUUUUCGCCAAACAUAUAGCGGAUUGGUUGUCUUCAUAUAUCACAGUUGAUUUGACUCCAGUUUCCUUCAAGUUGGAAAGAGGUUGUUGCAGCCAUAUGGCUUCUUGAACUGCACUUGCUAGAGCUAUGUACUCAGCUUCAGCAGUUGAAAGUGCAACGCAGGUCUGCGUUUUGCUUCUCCAGCUGACUGCUGCUCCACUAAUUUUGAAGAUAUAUCCCGAGGUUGAUUUGCGGUCAUCUAAAUCUCCGGCCCAAUCUGCAUCUGAAUAAUCUGUGCACUUGUCUUCAUUUUCUUGACAGUAGAGUAAUCCAAGGUUAAGCGUACCAUUCAAAUACCUUAGGAUUCGUUUGACAGCUGUCCAAUGCUGCUUCGUUGGUUUAGCACAGAAUCUUGCAACGUUACUUACAGCAUAUCAGGUCGUGUUCUUGCUGAAAGAUAUUGUAAGCUUCCAAUUGCAGAUUGAUAUAUCUCUUGGUUGAAUAGGUCACUUCCUUCAGUAGCUUUUGCCAAUUUCAACCCAGUUUCAACUGGUGAAGCAACAGGCUUCGAUUGUUUCAUUUGAAACUUCUUCAGUAGAUCCUUUGAUUACGAUUCUUGACUAAUCGAUAUCUCACCAGUUUCUUUCUUCUGAGCAAUCUUUACGCCAAGAAAAUAAUGUAGUUCACCGAUGUCUUAAACAUUACACUUCUCUGCAAUUAGUUUCUUGAAUUCUUUCAUGCGUUUUUCUGUCUUUCCAGCCAAAAUAAUGUCAUCAACGUAAACAACAAUUAAGAAGACUUCUCCUCCUGAAGCUGUAUAGAUGCACGGAUCACUUUUAGCUUGUUUGAAUUCCAUUCUCUUCAGGUGCUUGUCUAUUUCUUCAUUCCAACAUCUAGGUGGCAGUAAACCCUUGUGCAACGAGUCACGCUUCGUAUCGUUCGAUUCUUCCAUCAGCGUCAAGUUUUCGCUUAAACACCCAUUUACUGCCAAUGGCAUUUUUUUCCAUGAGGUAAUUCGAAAAGAUCCCAGACUUCGUUCUGUUUUAAUGAUUCCAUUUCACUUUCCAUUGCCUUCUCCCAUGCCUUUUUCUCAAGACUUGACAGAGCUUCGGCUGUCGACAUAGGCUCACACAACUCGCUAUCAGCAAUGUAGGCUCCUACUCCAUGGUAAUCCCGUGGUUUUCUUGUUUUGGCUGAUCUUCGCACUUUUACUUCAGUUGUCUCGUACAUAUUUCAGUUGCCUUCUUCUUUGAUGCAUUCUAACUCAACAGUUAGUUGACCUUCUCUACUUGCUGUUGUUUCAAUGCUCUCCUUCUCUUUUGUUGACUUUGAUUCUUUGAAUAAUUCAUCUCUGCUAUAAAAUACUUUUGAGUUCUUUUCAUUGUAUAAGCGAUAACCCUUUGUUUCUGCGCCAUAUCCAAGGAAUAUACAUUUUCUUGCUUUCGAAUCAAGCUUACUCCUCUCAUCAUUUGGCACGUGGGCAUAUGCUUCACACCUGUUGGGGCCCAGACCCUCCUUGGUAUCUGAAGACCCCACACAGUUAUUAUUAUUACAUUCGGUAUUGUAAUACGUGCCGAGAUACUGUGUUAUACGUGUAGGGUUCUAAUUAUAAUGUUGAUUUAAUAUUUGAUUUAAAGCAGUGGUAAAUAACAUGUUUUGAUUCUCAAUACCCUAUAAGGACAAACGUAUGGAAAAUAUCAACCGACAAGUCUCAGUCAACGUGACUAUGUAUGUUGUAACUCGAAAUAAGUUAGUUAGUUGUUAGGAGUUGGUUGAAGUAGAGUUGAAGUAAGGAUUGUGAUUGGCGGAAAUGUGAAAUAAAAUACUGAUGGAUUUGAUACAAAAUAGUUACACAAAAUGGUGAUUUUUCUCUGAAUCUUCAUCUAACACUUCGUCUAUCAUUAAAUAUUAAGAUAGGGGCACCGCUAGAAAUAGUGGUCCCAACAACACCCAAAAACCUCGAGAUGCUGAACACUAGGUUUCUCGCCAGUCCAUGCUUCAUAUGGUGUCACACCCACCACAGCUUUCGCUAUCGAGGUUUAAUCGGGUAACAGUUUGAGAGGUUAACAUUUUUUCAAAAUUCUCAAAAUAGGAACCAUUAUCGACAUUAGAAGAUUAAUAUUAAAAGCAUAUUUGUGAUUAAACCCAUUUUCUGUAAUUGUUGCGUUUCGGUCCUUUUUUCUUCCAAGAAUGAGCCUACGUCGAAUCCACUGUGGAUGCCUUCUUGCCAAUAGUAGAAGAUGGUGCUAUGGAGACUUUUUAGCGGAUAGUUGUGGAAACAUAAUUAUAUUUUUCAUUUUUAGCCUACACCGUCGGUUUACAUCUAGAUUCACGGCCAAUGUUUCAAGAAUUGUCUCUUGCAAUGUUCGAAAAGUAAUUUUCUGUUUGGAGCUGUCAUGGCCUAAUUUCUUUUCAGGAAGACUGGGUUUGGGAUCUUGAAAGCCGAAAUUGAGAGGACUGCCGAGAGAGGGGGACAAUGGAGGAAAAUUGCCCCAGGGCCUCGACGUCUAGUGAGCCACAUAAAGUAAUGAAUUCUAUUUUAUGAAUUCAAUUAAUCAAUCUUGGCAAAAGAAAAGUAUGUCUAAAAUUAGUAAAACGUUUUAUACGAUUGCAAGAAACGACUGCAAGAAAUAUUCUGAAAUGUAUUCUUAAACUAACCUGAAGGCCGUUGUCGCAAAAAAUUUCCGGGGCCUCGUCUUUCGGUUUUGCCCCAGGACUUCCGAAACCUCUCGGCGGCCCAGCAGAUGGGGCCUACCAAACUGAUGAGCGAUGAUGAGCAAAUAAAAUUGUGAUGCUGAGGUUGAUACUUAUGAAGAUUUCUUAAAAUUUAACGAUUAAAUGUGCUAUUUUGAAAAGCAAGUACGGUAGACAGAAGAGACAUGAAGUGGCUGUAUCUACCUUUCAUUUAUGUUUGAUCGCACAGCUUUGUUAACGGUUCUCUGGACUGCAAUUUUCACCAUUUUCUAACGUUGCUAUAGAAUUUGCGCGGGUCAGCAGUCCUCUCUCUCCUGAUUGAUACACAAGAACAUUUUUGUGAAUGCAAGAAAAUCUAUAGAAACUUGAUCAGACUUUUUGAACACAUUGUUUUCAAAAUUUUAUUACUGAUCAAGCAGACGUAUUGGUAAAAGGAUAAACUCCAAUGUUGAAUUUUGAGCAGAAAAAAACAGAGUUGCGAUAUCUUUAUAACAGCCUAUAUCAGUAUCUUUUGGUUUAAUUUCACAAAACUAAACGAGACAAAAUGACCAGGCAUUAUGGCAAAAUCUCUAGUUACUAUAAUUCACGGAGAUGGUAUAAAUAUUAUUUAUCUACUUUCAUGUCUUCGAGUUUCUGAACAACAUCUCCCUUUUUACUUUCAACUUUCUUAUUUCCCUUGGCCUUCCCUUUCUUUUUUGGCUCUUCGUCAAUCGGCGCUGGUUUGACGAACUUAAUGAAGUCCAUAUUGUUCGGCAUAAAUGGCUGAAGAGCC